UCUCUGGUGGUCUAGUGGCUAGGUCUCUGCACUCUCAAUGCGGGGGACCUGGGUUCAAUCCCUGAUCAGGGAU
Molecule: transfer RNA, 73 nt
Filed under: Bos taurus (domestic cattle)
Lineage: Eukaryota; Metazoa; Chordata; Mammalia; Artiodactyla; Bovidae
Also listed under: 3 other names
Rfam family: tRNA
About the family: Transfer RNA (tRNA) molecules are approximately 80 nucleotides in length. Their secondary structure includes four short double-helical elements and three loops (D, anti-codon, and T loops).
Source: Rfam by way of RNAcentral